ACGAGGAUGCUGCAAUUGGUUGACAGGCUGUGCUUAGGACACAGUGCCUUAGUGCAUUGCAGGUUCGAGUCCUGUUCCUCGUA
RNAcentral lists this transfer RNA (83 nucleotides) under Blastococcus fimeti. RNAcentral describes it as "Blastococcus sp. DSM 44205 tRNA_Leu_TAG". It matches the Rfam family "tRNA". Rfam says of the family: Transfer RNA (tRNA) molecules are approximately 80 nucleotides in length. Their secondary structure includes four short double-helical elements and three loops (D, anti-codon, and T loops). Further hydrogen bonds mediate the characteristic L-shaped molecular structure. tRNAs have two regions of fundamental functional importance: the anti-codon, which is responsible for specific mRNA codon recognition, and the 3' end, to which the tRNAs corresponding amino acid is attached (by aminoacyl-tRNA synthetases). tRNAs cope with the degeneracy of the genetic code in two manners: having more than one tRNA (with a specific anti-codon) for a particular amino acid; and 'wobble' base-pairing, i.e. permitting non-standard base-pairing at the 3rd anti-codon position. Lineage: Bacteria; Bacillati; Actinomycetota; Actinomycetes; Geodermatophilales; Geodermatophilaceae. The record is from RNAcentral.